AAGAAGAAGAAGGAGAAGAAGAAGACUUGAAGAAGAAGAAGAUUAUGUCAUGAAUGAACUAGCUAAGAUCUUCUUCUUCUUCUUCUAGUCUUCUUCUUCUCCUUCUUCUUCUU
This 113-nucleotide microRNA precursor is filed under the name Aegilops tauschii subsp. strangulata. RNAcentral's name for it is "pre miRNA MIR164". The record is from RNAcentral. Lineage: Eukaryota; Viridiplantae; Streptophyta; Magnoliopsida; Poales; Poaceae.